AUUGAACGCUGGCGGCAGGCCUAACACAUGCAAGUCGAGCGGAUGAAGGGAGCUUGCUCCUGGAUUCAGCGGCGGACGGGUGAGUAAUGCCUAGGAAUCUGCCUGGUAGUGGGGGAUAACGUCCGGAAACGGGCGCUAAUACCGCAUACGUCCUGAGGGAGAAAGUGGGGGAUCUUCGGACCUCACGCUAUCAGAUGAGCCUAGGUCGGAUUAGCUAGUUGGUGGGGUAGAGGCCUACCAAGGCGACGAUCCGUAACUGGUCUGAGAGGAUGAUCAGUCACACUGGAACUGAGACACGGUCCAGACUCCUACGGGAGGCAGCAGUGGGGAAUAUUGGACAAUGGGCGAAAGCCUGAUCCAGCCAUGCCGCGUGUGUGAAGAAGGUCUUCGGAUUGUAAAGCACUUUAAGUUGGGAGGAAGGGCAGUAAGUUAAUACCUUGCUGUUUUGACGGUACCAACAGAAUAAGCACCGGCUAACUUCGUG
This 484-nucleotide ribosomal RNA is filed under the name uncultured bacterium. Its description in RNAcentral is "partial 16S ribosomal RNA". It matches the Rfam family "Bacterial small subunit ribosomal RNA", at positions 30 to 507 of the family's 1533-position model. The record is from RNAcentral.